UUUAAGACUUUUACUGUUACAUGGGAGAACUGUUUACCUGUGAGAUUCAUCUGCCUCUGACUGCUGAAGCACAGUAACUAUUUUACAAUUCAAAUGAAUAAACAGCCUUCAGAUGCCUAGGACUCAAAUCAAAGUGUGGUCUUAACUACCAGGAGCUGGUAUUGUGUGGUCUUCGUUUCUCCUGUGAAUAUAUGAGCAUUGGGUGAAAAGUAUCCCACAGGGUACCUCGACUGAACUUGAGUCUACAAAAUUUUGCGUCUGUUUCCCUGCCACUUCCCAGUCAUCUAAUGCCACUAUACAGAACUGGGCCCUCGAGGGCACCCAGAGAGACAAACAGCUUGAUACUUGCUCAGAUGCCCAUGUCAGCUCCUGUGAGUUUUACGGAUAAGCAGGCAUCUCCCUUGACCUGCACUUCCUAUGCUGACUACUUGCUCUCUGACAGAUUGAAG
Molecule: long non-coding RNA, 449 nt
Organism: Strigops habroptila (Kakapo)
Lineage: Eukaryota; Metazoa; Chordata; Aves; Psittaciformes; Psittacidae
Exons: 4
Source: RefSeq, a predicted model, not a curated record